UUGGGACAUAUUCCAUGAUUGUAGCUUCUUUUUGCUUUACCAUUCUCGUCUUUCCAAUUCUCUGGCCUCCUUUUUCUGCUCCUUACCGUAAAGCUUCUACUGUUUGACACAUUAAGUAGCAGAUAACUAAUCAGUUUCAACACUCAUUGAUACUGACAUUGAAUUGAUUUUCUGAGAUUGAAUAUUGAAAAAUGGCGGGUGAGUGGAGCUGGGAGCAGAAGAUGUUAAUCAAUGAGCUAAUUCAAGGGAUGGAACAAGCCAAACAGUUGAAGGUUCAACUGGGUACGAAAUCCACUGCCCAAACCAGACAAGUGCUUGUGCAGAAUAUAUUAUCUUCUUAUGAGAAGGCUCUUUCGAUCUUGAAAUGGGGUGGAUCAAUCACUCAUCCUCAAACUGUUGAACCUGAGUCCCCUCUGUCCAUCAACGGCAGUCCAGGGAGUGACUAUUUUGAUGUGUCUCUUAAGGACAGUCAAGACACCAAAGGGUAUUCAAAGAAGAGGUGAAGUAAUACAUACCCAUAUACGUUAAGUUUCCUGUCAUGUUGCAGCAACAUUAACAGGUUUUCUGACAUUGCAUUGCAGAAAGAUGUUGCCAAAAUGGACAGAACACAUGAGAGUUAGCACUGAGACAGGAUUUGAAGGACCAGUUGAUGAUGGCUAUAGCUGGAGAAAAUAUGGACAGAAAGAUAUAUUAGGAGCUAAAUAUCCUAGGUGACGUGUCUUUCAUAACUUACAUUAAUAUAAACAUCAGCAGAAAAAGAAAGAUAUAAAAGUUUUUUAUAAAGGAAAAUUGGUACCUGCCUUUUUACGGUAAAAAGAAUCUGACAGAGAUUGUUGCAUGUGCAGGAGCUAUUACAGAUGCACUUACCGCAACACACAGAACUGUUGGGCUACAAAGCAAGUUCAACGGUCAGACAAGGAUCCCACCAUAUUUGAAGUU
RNAcentral lists this long non-coding RNA (939 nucleotides) under Carica papaya (papaya). RNAcentral describes it as "long non-coding RNA (CPAP_LNC007456)". Lineage: Eukaryota; Viridiplantae; Streptophyta; Magnoliopsida; Brassicales; Caricaceae. The record is from RNAcentral.